UAGUCAUAUGCUUGUCUCAAAGAUUAAGCCAUGCAUGUGUAAGUAUAAGUAUUGUACAGCGAAACUGCGAAUGGCUCAUUAAAUCAGUUAUAGUUUAUUUGAUAAUCGAAAGUUACAUGGAUAACCGUGACAAAUUACAGCUAAUACAUGCAGCAAAACUCCUAUGGAGUUGUAAUUAUUAGUACUAAACCAAUUCCUUCGGGAAUGUGAUGAAUCAUAGUAAUCGAACGAAUCGCAGAAUUCUGCGAUAAAUCAUUCAAGUUUCUGCCCUAUCAG
RNAcentral lists this ribosomal RNA (276 nucleotides) under uncultured eukaryote. RNAcentral's name for it is "partial 18S ribosomal RNA". It matches the Rfam family "Eukaryotic small subunit ribosomal RNA", at positions 21 to 318 of the family's 1831-position model. The record is from RNAcentral.